This 194-nucleotide ribosomal RNA is filed under the name uncultured bacterium. Its description in RNAcentral is "partial 16S ribosomal RNA". It matches the Rfam family "Bacterial small subunit ribosomal RNA", at positions 338 to 524 of the family's 1533-position model. The record is from RNAcentral. RNAcentral also lists the same sequence under 1 other name.
CCUACGGGAGGCAGCAGUGGGGAAUUUUGGACAAUGGGCGCAAGCCUGAUCCAGCAAUGCCGCGUGCAGGAAGAAGGCCUUCGGGUUGUAAACUGCUUUUGUCAGGGAAGAAAUCCUCUGGGUUAAUACCUCGGGGGGAUGACGGUACCUGAAGAAUAAGCACCGGCUAACUACGUGCCAGCAGCCGCGGUAAU